This 497-nucleotide ribosomal RNA is filed under the name uncultured bacterium. Its description in RNAcentral is "partial 16S ribosomal RNA". It matches the Rfam family "Bacterial small subunit ribosomal RNA", at positions 28 to 507 of the family's 1533-position model. The record is from RNAcentral.
GAUGAACGCUGGCGGCGUGCCUAAUACAUGCAAGUCGAGCGAACGGACGAGAAGCUUGCUUCUCUGAUGUUAGCGGCGGACGGGUGAGUAACACGUGGAUAACCUACCUAUAAGACUGGGAUAACUUCGGGAAACCGGAGCUAAUACCGGAUAAUAUUUUGAACCGCAUGGUUCAAAAGUGAAAGACGGUCUUGCUGUCACUUAUAGAUGGACCCGCGCUGCAUUAGCUAGUUGGUAAGGUAACGGCUUACCAAGGCAACGAUGCAUAGCCGACCUGAGAGGGUGAUCGGCCACACUGGAACUGAGACACGGUCCAGACUCCUACGGGAGGCAGCAGUAGGGAAUCUUCCGCAAUGGGCGAAAGCCUGACGGAGCAACGCCGCGUGAGUGAUGAAGGUCUUCGGAUCGUAAAACUCUGGUAUUAGGGAAGAACAUAUGUGUAAGUAACUGUGCACAUCUUGACGGUACCUAAUCAGAAAGCCACGGCUAACUACGUG